GGUCUCAUUCUGUAGCCCAGGCUGGGCCUUUAACUCCUGAUUCUUUGCUUCAGCCUCUCGAGUCCUGGGAGAUCUGGCACCACACCCAGCUCCAAGAAGGUAUGGUUGGGAAGGCUGCAGAGAGGCUAAGGAAUGUUCUGGAGCCCACUGGCCUAUGGGAGAUGCUGAACUCUGCUUGUCUAGCCCCAUGCCUUCUGAGACAGGGCAUUAACCUAAUUCCAGGUCCCCAGUUGUGUAUGUAAGGCAAACAAACCUGCCAAGGCAGCUUCCUGUGUACCCUGGUUGUGGAGGAAGUAUCAGAGCCCACAGCUAGGACAGUCCUUGCGGCCACUUCUAUCUUCCACACACACUUUCCAGAUGCUCCUUGUGGUGGUUAGAAUAUGCUUGGCCCAGGGAGUGACAUUAUUGAGGGGUGUGGUCUUGUUGGAGGAAGUGUAUCCCGAUGGUGGACUUUGAGACCCUCUUCUUAGCUGCCUGGAAGACAGCAGUGUUCUCCUGUUUGCCUUCAGAACAAGAUGUAGAACUCUCAGCUUCUCCUGCACCAUGCCUGCCUAGAUGCUGCCAUGCUUCCUGCUUUGAUGAUAAUGGAAUGAACCUCUUAACUGGUAAUCCAGCCCCAAUUAAAAGAGUUGCCUUGGUCAUGGUGUCUGUUCACAGCAAUGGAAACCCUAACUAAGACGCACAUAGACCCUGCCUAUGAAGUGGGGGCUGUGGUGUUUCAGAGGUCCUCUGUCCUUCUGAGAUCCAGGCACAUGGACGUCCUAGCCAUAGAUAAACAUUGGCUGCUUCCUAUUCAGUGCCAGUCAGCUUACCUCACCUGUCAGUCAAAGAGCUGGCCAGCCCUCCUUCCCUUCCACCCCCAGGGCCAAAGAACGUUCCUCAUAUAUAUCCCUGAACCCAGAAGCUGCUGAGGCCUCUGUCCUCACCUCCCGACUCCUGGCAUCUGUAUUUGAUAAACGUUGCUGUUUCCACAAAGGGACUCUCGGCCUAGGGGAGACUUGGAGCUACACACCCAUCAAGGACACUCAGGACACAGAUGGACAAAGUCCUUUUCUGCCUUCGCUCAUCUAGGAUAUGAGUUGAAGUAAAGAAUGGAGUCACCCACAUCCUCCCCACAUUUCAAAAGCCCCACCUCCCAAGGGGUUCAUUGCCUUCCUGUGGCACCAUGAGCCUGAAGAGCGCAUGUUAGAUCCAGUCUUCUGCACAAAGGAUGCUUCUGAUGUGGUUGGCCUCUUCCCGGAAGGACUGCAGAACAUCUGAGGGGAACAGGGACGCUGGCGUCUUGCAAGAGACAGCUUUCCAGGGCUUCCACCGUGCAAAGCCCCCUUGCAGUUCUUUUUGCCUCCCCAAUCCCCUGCAAGCCUAGAUCCAACAUUUGUGUUAACGGUUUGUAGAGUAGGAAGCUGACCCAGACUCCCAAGCCCUGCCUGCCCCACCCAAGAUAUUUGCACCAAUUUGCAAAUUGGUUUGAAAUUGAAGUCAGAAUUACAGCUUCUUAUUUUCUAUUUUCUGUCUCUUUCAGAUGGGCUCUCAUUUCUGUCCCUCUUCUUAAGAAAGGCCCCAAGGGGGGAAAAUACAGGUCUCAAAGCUAAACAGAACCAAAGAAAAGCAA
Apodemus sylvaticus (European woodmouse) is the source of this 1612-nucleotide long non-coding RNA. RefSeq lists it as uncharacterized. NCBI's taxonomy places the organism in Eukaryota, Metazoa, Chordata, Mammalia, Rodentia, Muridae. The transcript has 3 exons. The record is from RefSeq and is a predicted model, not a curated record.